Molecule: long non-coding RNA, 200 nt
Filed under: Homo sapiens (human)
Lineage: Eukaryota; Metazoa; Chordata; Mammalia; Primates; Hominidae
Description: HSALNT0178161
Source: RNAcentral
ACGCUUGGGAUCCUGGCUGGUACGAGGCCUCCCACACUGUCAAAUGUCAACUCCACCAGCACUGAGACAAUGAGUAGAUGAGAAUGUAGAAAGAGGGAAGGAGAGAAGGGAAGGAGGGAAGAGAAAGAAGGAAGAAAAGGAAAGCAUGGCCCGGCUAGAGACAAAGCCAGAGGUGAUCAGGUCAGCAGCAGGAGAGGCUC